This 1451-nucleotide ribosomal RNA is filed under the name uncultured organism. RNAcentral's name for it is "SSU rRNA". It matches the Rfam family "Bacterial small subunit ribosomal RNA". The record is from RNAcentral.
GAUGAACGCUAGCUACAGGCUUAACACAUGCAAGUCGAGGGGCAGCAUGGUCUUAGCUUGCUAAGGCCGAUGGCGACCGGCGCACGGGUGAGUAACACGUAUCCAACCUGCCGUCUACUCUUGGACAGCCUUCUGAAAGGAAGAUUAAUACAAGAUGGCAUCAUGAGUCCGCAUGUUCACAUGAUUAAAGGUAUUCCGGUAGACGAUGGGGACGCGUUCCAUUAGAUAGUAGGCGGGGUAACGGCCCACCUAGUCUUCGAUGGAUAGGGGUUCUGAGAGGAAGGUCCCCCACAUUGGAACUGAGACACGGUCCAAACUCCUACGGGAGGCAGCAGUGAGGAAUAUUGGUCAAUGGGCGAGAGCCUGAACCAGCCAAGUAGCGUGAAGGAUGACUGCCCUAUGGGUUGUAAACUUCUUUUAUAAAGGAAUAAAGUCGGGUAUGGAUACCCGUUUGCAUGUACUUUAUGAAUAAGGAUCGGCUAACUCCGUGCCAGCAGCCGCGGUAAUACGGAGGAUCCGAGCGUUAUCCGGAUUUAUUGGGUUUAAAGGGAGCGUAGAUGGAUGUUUAGGUCAGUUGUGAAAGUUUGCGGCUCAACCGUAAAAUUGCAGUUGAUACUGGAUAUCUUGAGUGCAGUUGAGGCAGGCGGAAUUCGUGGUGUAGCGGUGAAAUGCUUAGAUAUCACGAAGAACUCCGAUUGCGAAGGCAGCCUGCUAAGCUGCAACUGACAUUGAGGCUCGAAAGUGUGGGUAUCAAACAGGAUUAGAUACCCUGGUAGUCCACACGGUAAACGAUGAAUACUCGCUGUUUGCGAUAUACUGCAAGCGGCCAAGCGAAAGCGUUAAGUAUUCCACCUGGGGAGUACGCCGGCAACGGUGAAACUCAAAGGAAUUGACAGGGGCCCGCACAAGCGGAGGAACAUGUGGUUUAAUUCGAUGAUACGCGAGGAACCUUACCCGGGCUUAAAUUGCAGAUGAAUUACGGUGAAAGCCGUAAGCCGCAAGGCAUCUGUGAAGGUGCUGCAUGGUUGUCGUCAGCUCGUGCCGUGAGGUGUCGGCUUAAGUGCCAUAACGAGCGCAACCCUUGUUGUCAGUUACUAACAGGUUCCGCUGAGGACUCUGACAAGACUGCCAUCGUAAGAUGUGAGGAAGGUGGGGAUGACGUCAAAUCAGCACGGCCCUUACGUCCGGGGCUACACACGUGUUACAAUGGGGGGUACAGAGGGCCGCUACCACGCGAGUGGAUGCCAAUCCCCAAAACCUCUCUCAGUUCGGACUGGAGUCUGCAACCCGACUCCACGAAGCUGGAUUCGCUAGUAAUCGCGCAUCAGCCACGGCGCGGUGAAUACGUUCCCGGGCCUUGUACACACCGCCCGUCAAGCCAUGGGAGCCGGGGGUACCUGAAGUGCGUAUCCAAGGGGAGCGCCCUAGGGUAAAACUGGUGACUGGGGCUC